This 593-nucleotide ribosomal RNA is filed under the name Labeo pierrei. RNAcentral's name for it is "partial 16S ribosomal RNA". It matches the Rfam family "Bacterial large subunit ribosomal RNA", at positions 1811 to 2603 of the family's 2925-position model. The record is from RNAcentral. Lineage: Eukaryota; Metazoa; Chordata; Actinopteri; Cypriniformes; Cyprinidae.
AAACAUCGCCUCCUGCAACACAACUAUGUAUAGGAGGUCCAGCCUGCCCAGUGACUACAAGUUCAACGGCCGCGGUAUUUUGACCGUGCAAAGGUAGCGUAAUCACUUGUCUUUUAAAUAAAGACCUGUAUGAAUGGCUAAACGAGGGCUUAACUGUCUCCCCUUUCCAGUCAGUGAAAUUGAUCUGCCCGUGCAGAAGCGGACAUAAAAAUACAAGACGAGAAGACCCUUUGGAGCUUAAGGUACAAAACUUAACCACGUCAAGCAACUCAACAAAAAGCAAAAACUUUGUGGAAUAUAAGAUUUUACCUUCGGUUGGGGCGACCACGGAGGAAAACAAAGCCUCCAAGUGGACUGGGAAAUAUACUCCUAAAACCAAGAGAGACAUCUCUAAGCCACAGAACAUCUGACCAAGCAUGAUCCGGCUGCCCAAAGCCGAUCAACGAACCAAGUUACCCUAGGGAUAACAGCGCAAUCCUCUCCCAGAGUCCAUAUCGACGAGGGGGUUUACGACCUCGAUGUUGGAUCAGGACAUCCUAAUGGUGCAGCCGCUAUUAAGGGUUCGUUUGUUCAACGAUUAAAGUCCUACGUGA